UUUCUCUUCUUCUUUACUCUAUACGUUGGUGUUAUAACCAAUAAUCACCAAAGCGAAGUUCUGUCCGAUUGAUUCAGGAACCAACGAACGAAUGCCAAAGUGUUGUACUUUGUGAAUUUCGGUAAACGGAAUCCAAAGUACUAUACCUUGUGAUUUCGAUAAACGGAAUCCAAAGUGUUACAUUUUGUAAAUUUUGUUAAGGUUCGAAUCUCGUGACUACCGUUAGGUUUGAUUUGGGUUUUACACAAAUACGUAUUCCAUUCUGUUAAACUAUAUGUUUACUACCGAAAAUACUUCCCACUACACACUCACAAUCAAACAAACUAUUAAAUCAUCAGAAGAUCCAGAAUAAUAAAGGACAUGCUUAAUUAUCGGAAGAAGUAGAAUCAAGAAGUUGUUAACUCAAUCCUACAUGCUGAUUUGUAAUUACAGUAGAUUGGCGUAAGGAUUGGAUCCGGCACUGAAAGGACUUCAAGAAGUGGCUUAUUUUAUUAAUUAAAUCAAAUUAAGAAAUAUUGUUUUUAUUAAAAGCUACCUUUGUAAAACAUGGAAUUUAUUCCAUCUAUUUAAAUAAAAUCCGGUGUUUCUAAACUCUGAUAUUUUUCCUAACUCACGGUCCUGAUGAAAUUUCCGCUGCAAUAUUUUUCAAAAUAAUCACCGGUACCACUGGACUGCUCACGGCACCGAUUCCGGCCAGGAUGGGGUCGGGGGUCGUGACACAAUCUAAAAGGAUCUCCUAUGCUAGUAUAAAUAGGGGAGUCCUUAGUCGAUUAUGGUUGUUGAUUCACUAACAAACUUUGUGCCUUUUGUGCGAUUGGAGUACCAGACGAUUCUAGAAAUCAUGUGCUCUUGUUCUUGAAUCAAUAUACUUUGCUUUUCAAUCUUUGACAUCUUGCUUGUAUUUCCGCUACUUGUUUGGUGUUUGAUAUUCGAUUGUAUUGUUCCUGGACUUACAAUUGGUAUUCGAGCCUAAGUAGUCUCACGAAGGCUCGGUUGGAUCAGAUAUCUUGAAGUUUGAAGGCUGUUUUUGCUGCUGAUCGCGUUCAAGUUCGACAAGAAAGGUCUGUUUUUCUGCUUUGUUUCGAUUUUAUCUUACAGAUUUAUUUUUUUCGACUGUUGGUUGGGUCAUUGGGAUUUCGAGUUGUCUAGUUUUCUUGCUAAAAAUCUGCGUAUUUGCAUCUGAAUAUCGACACAAGUUAUAGCACAAACACUGAUUUUAACGUGGUUUUCUGUCGGUUCGAAAUCAAAAUUAAACAAUUGUGAAACAAAAGGGAUGCUUUAAUCUGGAAAAUUGAUCUGUUUUGGUUUAAAUUUUCGUGAAAACCAAUUGAUUUAGAUAUCAAAAAUUAAACUUCAUUUAUUGAUUUUUGAGAUUAAAUCUUUGGCUUGUUGAAAUUGAAAGUUUUUUUAAGUACACACAUAGAUUUUUGACUGAAAAUUUUGUUAAGGAUCUUAAAAUUUCUGGGUUUUUGUGCUUCGUUUUCAUCAAUUAUUCAUCGGAAUUUAAAAAAAAAAUUGUGGGUUUGAUCUAUUUUUGUGCAAGUUGACUGUGUUUGCAGAAAGUUUGGAAAGUUGGUGCAGGAAAUAUCCAACAGAUUCAAAAAAAUUAAACUCAUCAGAUUUUUUGGGAUCUUGGUUGAAAAUUGGGAAGAUUAUCAUUCCAAAAUUCAACUUGUGCGACUGAAAGGCUUGUACGAUUGGUGUUUUGGACCUUUAAAGUACUGAGGCCCAACGACAAUACAUCUUGUGCGACUUGAUUUGGGUUGUGCGAUCAAAAUUGUUUGGGCCAUUAAGGAUUCAAGCCCAACAUUUAACUCUUGUGCGAUUGAAUGCAUCUUGUGCGAUUGAGAAGAUAUUGUACGCUCCACUGUUUGCUUUUGAACUGGUGUCAGUAACCUUGUGCGACUGGACUUCUUGUGCGACGUAAAAGGUUUAUAUUGAAAGGGUUCACAUUAACUUGUGCGUUUGGCAAAAGGUUCAAAUUGAAAAAGUCUUGUGCGACUCACCUUGUGUGAUCCAUCUUGUGCGAUUGGACAAAGGUUCAGUUGAAAGGGGUCUUGUGUGAUUCAUAUUGUGCGACCGAGAUUGGACCUAUUCACGUGGACUGGACCAUUUGAACUCGUGAACUGUUUAGAUUGAAUUUUGAAUUAUUUGUGAACCAUCUGAAUUAUUGUUUGAACUGUAUUGUAAUCAUUAGUGAUAUUCAUUUGAUCUUUACAUUUAAUAUUACGUGU
RNAcentral lists this long non-coding RNA (2234 nucleotides) under Helianthus annuus (common sunflower). Its description in RNAcentral is "hypothetical non coding rna". Lineage: Eukaryota; Viridiplantae; Streptophyta; Magnoliopsida; Asterales; Asteraceae. The record is from RNAcentral.